Molecule: ribosomal RNA, 301 nt
Filed under: uncultured bacterium F16
Lineage: Bacteria
Description: bacterial SSU rRNA
Rfam family: Bacterial small subunit ribosomal RNA
Source: RNAcentral
CCUACGGGGGGCAGCAGUAGGGAAUCUUUCACAAUGGGCGAAAGCCUGAUGGAGCAACGCCGCGUGCAGGAUGACGGCCUUCGGGUUGUAAACUGCUUUUAUAUCUGAGAAAUAUGAUGGUAAGAUAUGAAUAAGGACCGGCUAACUACGUGCCAGCAGCCGCGGUCAUACGUAGGGUCCAAGCAUUAUCCGGAUUGACUGGGUGUAAAGAGUUGCGUAGGUGGCAGGGUAAGUAGAUAGUGAAAUCUGGUGGCUCAACCAUUCAGACUAUUAUCUAAACUGCUCCGCUCGAGAGCGUUAG